AGGUACUGGCAAUAUAGUAGUGAACAAAACAGAAAACAAGUCUUGCCUGUGUGGAGCUUAUAUUAUUAAGGAUGGAGAGAGACAGCACAAACAUUAGCUGAUGGUCAUAUGUGGCGACUGAACACUUGAAAUGUGGUUGGUACAAUUCGAGAUGGUCUUUAAGUAAAAAAUACACACAAGACUUUGAAGACUUGGUGUGAAAAAAAGAAUAAGUCCUGCACGCCAGCCUAUUGGGGCCUCCUCCUCCCUCCCACCUGCGUGGGGUCAUCUUAGUCGUGCCUUGAAAAUUCAGACCAGGGUACCUACUGAUGUGGCACCUCUGCAACCCCAGGAAGUCGACACCUGAACGCAGCCCCACUGACACCAGGCCGGUCCCUUACCUGGGAUGUCGAGACCCGCCCUUGUGCUCCUUUUCUGGAAGUCUCUCUACCUUAGGACCGGUUGGUCUCCUUUUCCCCGUGGAGCUACCACCAGGAGCCUGAGUCUCACUCUGCUUCUCCCGUCUCCCAGUUCCUACUCCAGCUGUAGAUCCGGGCAUGGCUUCAGGAGAAAGUUCAUCUGUCCAUUCGCUACUGGACUUACCCCAUCUCACACCAUCAAAUGUGUUUCUGUCAUAUUUAAAAAUUUGUCUUUUGCCAUUAAACUCCAUUCUCCUGCCUUUGUGUUCUUCUUUG
Molecule: long non-coding RNA, 674 nt
Organism: Balaenoptera musculus (blue whale)
Lineage: Eukaryota; Metazoa; Chordata; Mammalia; Artiodactyla; Balaenopteridae
Exons: 3
Source: RefSeq, a predicted model, not a curated record